Long non-coding RNA from Eptesicus fuscus (big brown bat), 939 nucleotides. RefSeq lists it as uncharacterized. Lineage: Eukaryota; Metazoa; Chordata; Mammalia; Chiroptera; Vespertilionidae. The transcript has 5 exons. The record is from RefSeq and is a predicted model, not a curated record.
AUUUGAUCAAUGAUUCUCAUCAUUGAUGUUUCUAACUCUUCCUCUCCUUUUCUUUAUGAAAUCAAUAAAAAAAAAAAGUUUAAAAAUAAUAAAAUUAAAAAAAAUAAAAAUAUAUCUAUAUAUACUUUUAUUCUGAUUUUAAAUGUGGAAAGGAAAGGAGAGGGAGAGAGACAGACAAACAUCCAUGAGAAGAAACAAGAAUCAGUUCCCUCCUGCAUGACCGCUACGGGAAUCCAGUCCCAUCCCCAGGCAGGGGACUUGACUGGGACUGACUCCUCCGCUUAGAGUUCCACUCAGCUCACCUCAUGUACCUUCCAGUGUCAGGUCCUGCAGCCCAGGCCUCAGCUUACAGAACGGGAGUGCCAGCAUUGGUGCUUGUGAACAAGAGAGACGUUGUCUGAGGUGGGAUUCUAACCUUUUCCCAGAACUGCUGAGAGGAAGAACGAGAAGACUGGCAGAGAGAGGACAGCACUAGGGGCAGAAAGAAGUCCUGUAAAUGAAUAUGAACUUUGAGGACGUGGCCAUUGCCUUCUCCCAGGAGGAGUGGGAGCUCCUGGAUGAGGCUCAGAGACUUCUGUACUGCGAUGUGAUGCUGGAAGUGUUUGCACUGGUCUCAUCUGUCGGUUGUUGGCAUAAAAUGGAAGAUAAGGCAACACAUUUUGAGCGGAAUGUACCUCUACAAGGAGAGUCACAGGUCAGGGCUUCUGAGACAGCUCCAGCUACUCAGAGGACCCAUCUCUGUAAGAAGUGCUUCUCGGUGUUAAAAGAUAUCCUGCACCCGACUGAGUCACGAGCAGCAGACUUUGAGCCGAAAGCCUUCUUCAGUGACGCAUGUGUGAGAGGCUUCUGUUUCAGUGCAAACUCUCAUGAGCAACAGAGGGAAGCCAGUGGAGAGAAGCCCUGGAAAGAAGCUAUGGACAGGGCUUCGUUUGUGAACAG